Molecule: ribosomal RNA, 253 nt
Filed under: uncultured bacterium
Lineage: Bacteria
Description: partial 16S ribosomal RNA
Rfam family: Bacterial small subunit ribosomal RNA
Source: RNAcentral
UACGUAGGCAGCAAGCGUUGUUCGGAAUUACUGGGCGUAAAGAGCGUGUAGGCGGCCCGGUAAGUCCGCUGUGAAAGUCGGGGGCUCAACCCUCGAAUGCCGGUGGAUACUGUCGGGCUAGAGUGCGGAAGAGGCGAGUGGAAUUCCUGGUGUAGCGGUGAAAUGCGCAGAUAUCAGGAGGAACACCGAUUGCGAAGGCAGCUCGCUGGGACGUAACUGACGCUGAGACGCGAAAGCGUGGGGAGCAAACAGG